GAAAGUAAUUAAGGGCGCAUGGCGGAUGCCUUGGCUCACAGAGGCGAUGAAGGACGUGAUAAGCUGCGAUAAGCUGCGGUAAGGUGCAAAUAACCUUUGACCCGCGGAUUUCCGAAUGGGACAACCCACCCACGCAAUACGUGGGUAUCACUGCUCAGCGGUGAGGCGAACCGGGGGAACUGAAACAUCUUAGUACCCCGAGGAAAAGAAAAUAAAUUAAUGAUUCCCCCAGUAGUGGCGAGCGACCGGGGAAUAGCCCAAACCAGCGUUGUGGCAACGCAUCGCUGGGGUUGUAGGACCGCGCUGUUGUACAUUGCGUGUGAGGAGAAUCUCCUGGAAAGGAGUGCCAUAGCGGGUGAUAGCCCCUUAUCCGAAGCAUAAGAUGACAUAGCGGUAUCCUGAGUAACGCGGGACACGAGUAAUCCUGCGCGAAUCUGCCGGGACCAUCCGGUAAGGCUAAAUACUCCUGUGAGACCGAUAGCGAACCAGUACCGUGAGGGAAAGGUGAAAAGCACUUCGAUAAGAAGAGUGAAAUAGUUCCUGAAACCAUGCGCCUACAAGCGGUCGGAGCUGCUUUAGCAGUGACGGCGUGCCUUUUGCAUAAUGAACCUACGAGUUACCUUCACCAGCAAGGUUAAGGGCCAUUAGGCCUGGAUCCGCAGUGAAAGCGAGCCUGAAUAGGGCGUAUUAGUUGGUGGUGGUAGACGCGAAACCAAGUGAUCUACACAUGUCCAGGAUGAAGUCCCGGUAACACGGGAUGGAGGUCCGAACGGAUAAGCGUUGAAAAGCUUCCCGAUGAGGUGUGUGUAGGAGUGAAAGGCCAAUCAAACUUGGAGAUAGCUCGUACUCCCCGAAAGGCAUUUAGGUGCCGCGUGCAGUGUUUUCCCCAAGAGGUAGAGCGACCGAUAGGACGCGAGGGCUUCACCGCCUAUCAAGUCCUGACGAACUCCGAAUGCUUAGGGGUUAGAAGCUGCGCAGUAAGGGGACGGGUGCUAAGGUCCGUUCCCGAGAGGAGAAGAAUCCAGACCGCCGUCUAAGGUCCCGGAGUUCUGCCUGAGUUAGUCUAACGAAGUCUGGUCCCCGCGACAGCCAGGAUGUUGGCUUGGAAGCAGCCAUUCAUUUAAAGAGUGCGUAACAGCUCACUGGUCGAGGGUCCGGGCGUGGAUAAUAAUCGGGUAUAAGGCAGACACCGAAGACGCGGGAUAGAAUUUAAAAAAGUAUCGGUAGGGGAGCAUUCCAUCGGCGUUGAAUGCGAUAAGACAAUUAUCGCUGGAGCUUAUGGAAAAGCAAAUGUAGGUAUAAGUAACGAUAAGGAGGGUAAGAUUCCCUCCCGCCGUAAGACUAAGGUUUCCCGGGCAAUGUCAAUCAUCCCGGGGUCAGUCGGGUCCUAAGGCUCAGCCGAACGGCGAGGCCGAUGGCAGAAAGGGUUAAUAUUCCCUUACUGCCGCACGGAGCGACGCGGAGACGGAGGCGUGACACCACCGCGGAGAGACGGAAUUCUCCGUUGAAGAGUGUAGAUGUUGAGGGUGGCAGGCAAAUCCACCACCCGAGUCGAACCUCGAAAGUAUGCUUUUCCCUUCGGGGCGAGGCAAUAGUGUGGGUAAUCAUACUCCCGAGAAAAUCCGCUAAGCUUAAUCCGUGCGGCACCCGUACCGCAAACGGACACACGUAGUCGGGUAGAACAUACUAAGGCGUUGAGAGAUUCAUGGUUAAGGAACUAGGCAAAUUGACCCCGUAACUUCGGGAUAAGGGGUCCUCAUAGCAAUAUGAGGCGCAGAGAAUAGGUCCAGGCAACUGUUUAACAAAAACACAGGGCUGUGCAAACUCGAAAGAUGAGGUAUACAGCCUGACACCUGCCCGGUGCCGGAAGGUUAAGAGGAGAGCUUAGAGGCAACUCGAAGGUUUGAAUUGAAGCCCCGGUAAACGGCGGCCGUAACUAUAACGGUCCUAAGGUAGCGAAAUUCCUUGUCGGGU
This 1974-nucleotide ribosomal RNA is filed under the name human metagenome. RNAcentral describes it as "bacterial LSU rRNA". It matches the Rfam family "Bacterial large subunit ribosomal RNA", at positions 1 to 1977 of the family's 2925-position model. The record is from RNAcentral.